AGGAGGAGGGCGUACUGGGUUGUAAACUUCUUUUAUAAGGGAAGAAACCUGCGAUUUUCAUUGCAGCCGACGGUACCUUAUGAAUAAGCACCGGCUAACUCCGUGCCAGCAGCCGCGGUAAUACGGAGGGUGCAAGCGUUAUCCGGAUUUACUGGGUUUAAAGGGUGUGUAGGCGGGCUAUUAAGUCAGUGGUGAAAUGCUCUUGCUUAACGAGAGAACUGCCGUUGAUACUAAUAGUCUUGAAUGUUGUUGAGGUGGGCGGAAUACAUCAUGUAGCGGUGAAAUGCAUAGAUAUGAUGUAGAACACCAAUUGCGAAGGCAGCUCACUAAACAAAGAUUGACGCUGAGGCACGAAAGCGUGGGGAUCAAACAGGAUUAGAUACCCUGGUAGUCCACGCCCUAAACGAUGAUUACUGGACAUACGCGAUAUUACAGUGUGUGUCUGAGCGAAAGCAUUAAGUAAUCCACCUGGGAAGUACGUCCGCAAGGAUGAAACUCAAG
RNAcentral lists this ribosomal RNA (501 nucleotides) under uncultured bacterium. Its description in RNAcentral is "bacterial SSU rRNA". It matches the Rfam family "Bacterial small subunit ribosomal RNA", at positions 405 to 905 of the family's 1533-position model. The record is from RNAcentral.